UGGCGGGGUGCUUACACAUGCAAGUCGAACGAUGAUCCGGUGCUUGCGCCGGGGAUUAGUGGCGAACGGGUGAGUAACACGUGAGUAACCUGCCCUUGACUCUGGGAUAAGCCUGGGAAACUGGGUCUAAUACCGGAUAUGACUCCUCAUCGCAUGGUGGGGGGUGGAAAGCUUUUUGUGGUUUUGGAUGGACUCGCGGCCUAUCAGCUUGUUGGUGGGGUAAUGGCCUACCAAGGCGACGACGGGUAGCCGGCCUGAGAGGGUGACCGGCCACACUGGGACUGAGACACGGCCCAGACUCCUACGGGAGGCAGCAGUGGGGAAUAUUGCACAAUGGGCGAAAGCCUGAUGCAGCGACGCCGCGUGAGGGAUGACGGCCUUCGGGUUGUAAACCUCUUUCAGUAGGGAAGAAGCCCUCUUUGGGGGUGACGGUACUUGCAGAAGAAGCGCCGGCUAACUACGUGCCAGCAGCCGCGGUAAUACGUAGGGCGCAAGCGUUAUCCGGAAUUAUUGGGCGUAAAGAGCUCGUAGGCGGUUUGUCGCGUCUGCUGUGAAAGACCGGGGCUCAACUCCGGUUCUGCAGUGGGUACGGGCAGACUAGAGUGCAGUAGGGGAGACUGGAAUUCCCUGGUGUAGCGGUGAAAUGCGCACAUAUCAGGAGGAACACCGAUGGCGAAGGCAGGUCUCUGGGCUGUAACUGACGCUGAGGAGCGAAAGCAUGGGGAGCGAACAGGAUUAU
This 739-nucleotide ribosomal RNA is filed under the name Arthrobacter sp. IFC_YN11. RNAcentral's name for it is "bacterial SSU rRNA". It matches the Rfam family "Bacterial small subunit ribosomal RNA", at positions 37 to 781 of the family's 1533-position model. The record is from RNAcentral. Lineage: Bacteria; Bacillati; Actinomycetota; Actinomycetes; Micrococcales; Micrococcaceae.